UACCCCCUGCAGGAGAGCCCAGAGCAGGCUGGAAGGUAGAAAGGUAGAGAUUUAGCAGUGACUGCUCUGUUUUUAGAAACUGUUGCCUGAACUUUUAGCCCAGGCAUGAGGAUUCUGACCUGGGACCCCACCCUGGGCUUAGAACUGGAUCCUGAACAUCAUAGAGUCCUUCCUGAGUGGGAUCAAGGCCUCAGGGUAGACGUAAUUGUGUUCCCUGCCCAUGCUCACCAGCCUUAGCAAACAAACACCUUGAACACAAGCUCCCCAAGAUGGGGUUCCAUAGGACUUUGUGGAAAAGAGUAAGACCAGGCCUCAAGUCUCUUGAGGUAAGUCAUUGUCCUUAGAGCCACCCUGGAUUCCAAGAUCAGCAAAACCACACAGGACAGACUACCCUCCAAAUGAACACAAUGGUCCAUGAAGGUGAGGCUGUGCCCUGGAGCCCAAGUAAUCAUCUCUGAGAACCACCUUCUCUCGUAAGCAACAAGGGCUUCUUCAGACCACCUUGUAGGACCAGAGCUGAGACACCAAGGAGCAGGAACAUACCUUGACUAGGACUGCUUAAUUACAUGUAGCUCUUACACUCUAUUAAACCUAAAGUUCCAGUCAGUACA
This is a long non-coding RNA of Nannospalax galili (Upper Galilee mountains blind mole rat), 611 nucleotides long. RefSeq lists it as uncharacterized. The record is from RefSeq and is a predicted model, not a curated record. NCBI's taxonomy places the organism in Eukaryota, Metazoa, Chordata, Mammalia, Rodentia, Spalacidae. The transcript is spliced from 4 exons.